Long non-coding RNA from Danio aesculapii, 376 nucleotides. RefSeq lists it as uncharacterized. The record is from RefSeq and is a predicted model, not a curated record. NCBI's taxonomy places the organism in Eukaryota, Metazoa, Chordata, Actinopteri, Cypriniformes, Danionidae. The transcript has 4 exons.
CCAUGCCAGAGUCAACUAAUGUGACGUAUUCAGGAAUCAGGGUAAACGUGGACAAAGAUAUUAAUACUGCAGGACCCAGUGACCUGAAUUAUGCAAAGAUCAACAUGAAGGACAAAAAGAAAAGCAAGGGCAAAGGUGCUGAUGCUGAAGCUGAUGCUUAACCCUGCAGAAGCAGAAGGAUAAAACACGUCUCUGAGUGCAGUGAUGAAAACAGACACCAGAAGAGAUGAACACCAGCGCUCGCUUUGCUUCAGAAACUGCUAAUGACAAUAAUACACUGAAUUAUCAGAGCUGCAGAUUAGCAACAGUGUUGGGAGUAAUGUGUUACAAAAGUAAUGUAUUACAGUAACGUAUUGCUUUUCCUGUAACGCAGUAG